AUACGUAGGUGACAAGCGUUAUCCGGAUUUAUUGGGUUUAAAGGGUGCGUAGGCGGUUUGCUAAGCGGGAGGUGAAAUGCCGGCGCUCAACGUCGGAAGUGCCUCCCGAACUGGUGGACUUGAAUGACUCUGCCGUGGGAGGAAUGUGUAGUGUAGCGGUGAAAUGCUUAGAGAUUACACAGAACACCGAUUGCGAAGGCAUCUCACGAAGGGUCGAUUGACGCUGAGGCACGAAAGCGUGGGGAUCAAACAGGAUUAGAUACCCUGGUAGUCCACGCAGUAAACGAUGAUGGCUAACCGCUGGGCUUAUCAGUUCAGUGGCCAAGCGAAAGCGAUAAGCCAUCCACCUGGGGAGUACGACCGCAAGGUUGAAACUCAAAUGAAUUGACGGGG
RNAcentral lists this ribosomal RNA (393 nucleotides) under uncultured bacterium. RNAcentral's name for it is "partial 16S ribosomal RNA". It matches the Rfam family "Bacterial small subunit ribosomal RNA", at positions 523 to 918 of the family's 1533-position model. The record is from RNAcentral.